AGAAAGACAGAGAGAGAGAGGGGUUUGAAGUGGGAUUCUCUCUCCUCUUUAAUUUCUCUGUUAACGGAGAGAGAGAGAGAGAGAGGAGUUUGAAGUGGGAUUCUCUCUCCUCAAUUAUUUUUCUGUUAACGGUGUUACUGGCUGCAUCCCACUGUAAUCUCCCAAACCUGUGCACGGAUCUCAAAGAGGAUCCAACGGUUUAAAACACUAUAGUAUAGGAGCAUCUAUACUAUUGAUAGUAUAGAAGCACAACUAUAUAUAUAUAUAUAUAUAUAUACCCAGGACAAUUUGCUAAAGACAAAUUGUUUAGUUCUUCCUAGUGAUGCGCAAUAUUUACAAUGCUUUUGUGAAAAAUAUUUGUAGUAACAACACUAGUCCUUGAACUUUUGGCCAUGUUUCAUUUUAAUCCUCAAACUUUCAAGUUUGACAUUUAAUAUCCUAUACUCUUGAAAUUGUUCUAUUUUGGUCUGCCCUCAUUUACCACCAGAGGAAAAAUUAUAGCCUACAUUGUUGUGUGUACAUUCAUGUGCCAUGCUUCUAUCAGUCCUUGAACCCAUCAUAUUUCAUCCUACCAUCCAUUAAGUUGCGGCCUUUAUCUAUUUAAAAAUUAGACUGCGGAGAUUGAAGAAAAUGAGAUGAACAGUGGGUUGUUGGAUUUGUGGACUGAGUAUGUAUAUAUACAUAUAUUAUAUAUAGAGAGAGAGAGAGAGUCUAGCUUGCGUGUGCUUUUGGAAGAACAUGGAUAGUGCAUGCUUCCAACUUUUUAGCCAUUUGAUCAAAUACUAUUCCACCUAUCCCUACUAAACCCUAAGGCUGCGUUUGGUUUGGGUAUAAGUAAGAACUGCUAGUUCUAGGAAUAGGUACAAAUUCAGGUAUAAGCAGGAACUAGACCAAUUUUGCGUUUGGAUGAAAAUUGGGUUGUUCCUAGGAAUAAAGUAAAUAGUGUUUGGAUGGUUAGAUUGGAACAAGAGGAAUAAGAGUUAUAAUAAUUUGAAAUUAAAAUUAUAUUAUAUAAUUAAUAGUAAUAAAAAUAUUACUUAAAAAUAAAUAAGAAAUUAAUUAUUAAUAAUUAAUUAUAAAUAAUAAAUUAAUAAUAUGGAUGAUCUAAUUAAUAAUAAUAAUAAUUAUUAUUAAUUAUUAAUAAAUAAUAAUAAUUAUUAAUUAUUCUUAUUAAUUAAUUAUAAAUAAUAAAUUAAUAAUAAUAUUGAUUAUCUAAUUAUUAAUAAUAAUUAAUAUUAAUAUUUAUUAAUAAAUAAUAAUAAUUAUUAUUAUUUAAUUAUAAAUAAUAAAUUAAUAAUAAUAUCCAUUAUCUAAUUAUUAAGAAUAAGAAUUAUUAAUUAAUUAUUAAUAAAUAAUAAUUAUUAUUAAUUAUUAAUUAUUAAUUAUAAAUAAUAAAUUAAUAAUAAUAUCGAUUAUCUAAUUAUUAAGAAUAAAAAUUAUUAAUAAUUAUUAAUAAAUAAUAAUAAUUAUUAAUUAUUAAUAAUUAAUUAUAAAUAAUAAAUUAAUAAUAAUAUCGAUUGUCAUUAAGAAUAAUAAUUAUUAAUAAUUAUUAAUAAAAAAAUAAUGAAUAUUAUUAAUUAUUUAUAAUUAAUUAUAAAUAAUAAAUUAAUAAUAAUAAUUAUCUAAUUAUUAAUAUUUAAUUAUAAAUAAUAAAUUAUUUCAAUUAUUAAAUUAUUAAAGUAGUAAAUAAUGAUUUAAAUAUAUUAAUUAGAUUAAUUAAUAAUUUAUUGCUAUUAAAAUUAAAUUUAGAUUUUAAUUAAUCUUGUUCUCAUCAAGGAACAAGCUUGUUUCAGAAAACGGGUGGAACAGCAGUUCCAGCCUUAUACCAGCUAGUUCCAAAUUCCCGGGAACUACUGUUCCCGGAAACCAAAUAUUGCGUUUGGGAACAAAGGGGGGAACAAGGGCUUAUUCCCCCCCUUGUUCCCGAACCAAACACUACCUAAAGCAUCCAAUGGUUAAAACUUUGUAGCACUAUUCAUGUGCUUCUAAAAGCACUCUAGUGGGUUAUAUCUAUAUAUAUAAAGGUGAGUAUUAAAUUGAAGCAAUUCUAAAAGUUUAUGGUCUUGAAUGUUGAACUUAGUCCAAGGACCAAAAUGAAACCUGACUAGAUGUUCAAGGACUCGUAGCGCAAUUUCCACAAAAAUUGUUGGUUCGUUUCAGAGCUAAUUGGUUCAUCUUAUCUGUUUAUUUGCUAAUUUUCAAUUGCUUUCUUCUAAUGCUUCACUAUUUUUCAUCUGUUUGAAAGUAAUUUUUCUAGAAAUUAAAUUUACAAACAUUUCUCAACCCUAUAAUUUAGUUCUUCUAUUAAGUAGCUGAUGUUAGUAUUGAGAGAAGCUCUUAAAAUAACUCUUACACCUCUUUUCAUUUUCCCCAUUUGUUAUUAUAACGGUUUAAUCAUUUAACCUUUCAAUCGUUAUAUUUUAUCUUCUUUGACUGUUUUCUUUCAUUGAAAUUAUUUUACUUUAUUCCAUUUUCGCUCUGUGUGUGUGUGUGUGUGUAAAUGUUGAAUCAAAGUAUCAAACCUCAAUUACUACUGACUGUACUGCUAAGUCCUCUAUCUACAAUUAGUUAGAGGUCCUAACAUCUAAUGAUUGAUUGAUUUCUAAAUU
Molecule: long non-coding RNA, 2609 nt
Filed under: Ananas comosus (pineapple)
Lineage: Eukaryota; Viridiplantae; Streptophyta; Magnoliopsida; Poales; Bromeliaceae
Description: long non-coding RNA (ACOM_LNC033485)
Source: RNAcentral